Molecule: Y RNA, 102 nt
Filed under: Prolemur simus (greater bamboo lemur)
Lineage: Eukaryota; Metazoa; Chordata; Mammalia; Primates; Lemuridae
Description: Y RNA (ENSPSMG00000009596.1)
Rfam family: Y RNA
About the family: Y RNAs are components of the Ro ribonucleoprotein particle (Ro RNP), in association with Ro60 and La proteins. The Y RNAs and Ro60 and La proteins are well conserved, but the function of the Ro RNP is not known. In humans the RNA component can be one of four small RNAs -- hY1, hY3, hY4 and hY5.
Source: Rfam by way of RNAcentral
GGCUCGUCCAAGUGCAGUGGUGUUUACAACUAAUUGAUCACAACCAGUUACAGAUUCCUUUGUUCCUUCUCCACUCCCACUGCUUCACUGCACCAGCCUUAA